UUGGUGUUGCCACGCUGAGACGCCCCGUGGAAGGGAUCAGCGUGGUGAUGGUGGCGAUCUCCGCCCUUGCCGGGGCGGUACAGCCGUUAAGCGUCCGGCGUCCGGGAGUUGCCGCUCUCGGGCGCCGUCG
This is a small RNA of Streptomyces zinciresistens K42, 130 nucleotides long. It matches the Rfam family "Streptomyces RNA 6925". From Rfam's summary of the family: Identified by deep sequencing of transcriptome at the end of exponential growth phase. Sequencing size consistent with northern blot size. Streptomyces specific. The record is from Rfam. NCBI's taxonomy places the organism in Bacteria, Bacillati, Actinomycetota, Actinomycetes, Kitasatosporales, Streptomycetaceae.